GAUGUAGAACGUAGCGAAAUGCGAUAAGUAAUGUGAAUUGCAGAAUUCAGUGAAUCAUCGAAUCUUUGAACGCACAUUGCGCCCGCCAGUAUUCUGGCGGGCAUGCCUGUUCGAGCGUCAUUACAACCCUCAGGCCCCCGGGCCUGGCGUUGGGGAUCGGCGGAAGCCCCCUGUGGGCACACGCCGUCCCUCAAAUACAGUGGCGGUCCCGCCGCAGCUUCCAUUGCGUAGUAGCUAACACCUCGCAACUGGAGAGCGGCGCGGCCAUGCCGUAAAACACCCAACUUCUGAAUGUUGACCUCGAAUCAGGUAGGAAUACCCGCUGAACUUAAGCAUAUCAAUAAGCGGAGGA
This 352-nucleotide unclassified non-coding RNA is filed under the name soil metagenome. Its description in RNAcentral is "partial contains 5.8S ribosomal RNA, internal transcribed spacer 2, and large subunit ribosomal RNA". The stretch from base 1 to 120 matches the Rfam family "5.8S ribosomal RNA", at positions 35 to 154 of the family's 154-position model. The record is from RNAcentral.